UACGGGGGGGGUAAGCGUUGUUCGGAAUUACUGGGCGUAAAGGGCUUGUAGGUGGCCAACUAAGUCAGACGUGAAAUCCCUCGGCUUAACCGGGGAACUGCGUCUGAUACUGGAUGGCUUGAGUGUGGGAGAGGGAUGCGGAAUUCCAGGUGUAGCGGUGAAAUGCGUAGAUAUCUGGAGGAACACCGGUGGCGAAGGCGGCAUCCUGGACCAUUACUGACGCUGAGACGCGAAAGCGUGGGGAGCGAACAGG
This 253-nucleotide ribosomal RNA is filed under the name uncultured bacterium. RNAcentral describes it as "partial 16S ribosomal RNA". It matches the Rfam family "Bacterial small subunit ribosomal RNA", at positions 524 to 776 of the family's 1533-position model. The record is from RNAcentral.